UAGCCGUAAACGAUACUCGCUAGGUGUCGGCCACGGUGCGACCGUUGUCGGUGCCGUAGGGAAGCCGUGAAGCGAGCCACCUGGGAAGUACGGCCGCAAGGCUGAAACUUAAAGGAAUUGGCGGGGGAGCACCACAACGGGUGGAGCUUUGCGGUUUAAUUGGAUUCAACGCCGGAAAUCUUACCGGGACCGACAGCAACAUGAAGGCCAAGCUGAAGACUUUGCCGGAUUAGCUGAGAGGAGGUGCAUGGCGUAGUCGUGU
RNAcentral lists this ribosomal RNA (262 nucleotides) under uncultured archaeon. Its description in RNAcentral is "partial 16S ribosomal RNA". It matches the Rfam family "Archaeal small subunit ribosomal RNA", at positions 748 to 1009 of the family's 1478-position model. The record is from RNAcentral.